Molecule: unclassified non-coding RNA, 453 nt
Filed under: uncultured cyanobacterium
Lineage: Bacteria; Bacillati; Cyanobacteriota
Description: partial contains 16S-23S ribosomal RNA intergenic spacer and 23S ribosomal RNA
Source: RNAcentral
UUUAGACGUGUCCGCUGGAUGACCCCAGCUUCCUGUCAUUCCAAAUCAGGGUAAAGGUUUUUACUCGAAUGAAUUUGGUUGAUAAGAUGCUGGGCUCGAAUUCAAAUGAUCAAGCAAUUGGUCGUUUGGGUUUGAAGUCUGGCAGAACCUUGACAACUGCAUAGGUAAGUCUGGAAAAACAAAGCAUCUUACAGAUGCAUUGUUUUGAAUCUGAUCUUCUGAAAGGGAGAUUAGAUCUAGAACAAUGAAAAUUCUUUUGAGCAAGAGCCGAGACUCUUGAGCGUUCUUUGAUUCGUGUCGAGCGAAUCAGAGUUUGAUCUUGUUUUAGGAAUCAGCGAAAGUUGAUGAUUAAAACUUGAGAAUCUGCUUUCAACGGCGGUAAGCGUUCAGGAGAUUAAUUGGUCAAGCUACAAAGGGCUCACGGCGGAUACCUUGGCACACAGAGGCGAUGAA